CAAAAGUAUCUAGGUUUAAUAAGAUUUUAGAAUUAUGUAUUUCUAAUAAAUUUUCAAAAUAGGGUUGUUUAUCUUAUUCCAUUUAGUUUUUUAAACUUGUAUUAAACUAAUUAUAUUUAUCUUUAAUAAAUAUUUAUAUAUUAAUUACAUUCUAUGUACUACAUCCUUCAACAAUUUAUUUUAAAAAGUUGUGUAUAUUAUACAAACUGGAAUACAAUAAUAAAAUUGUAACCAAGAAGUUUUUGUUACGGCGUUAUAACAAGUAAAGACUAUUUUUUAUAGUAGAUAGAUCUAAUCGAUCUUCCCAGUAUCAACGAUUAUAGCGUUGUUGAGGUGUAUGGUCCAUUUGCAUCUUCGAUUAAAAAAUUUGUUGUAUGUAUCUCGUUUGAGGAUUUACUAGGAUGACUGCAACAAUUCCAAACUCAUUCAGAUUGUAGAGGAUAGGGAUGUUUCGUGGCCUAUGUUAAUUUUAUAUAAAAGUUUCGAUAAUUAUUUAUUCGUAAUUAUUGACUCUCAAUCAUUUGGUGUUGUUGGAAGUUCAACAUUUUUUAAUAGUAAGCUUCCUAGAUCUAAAAAUUCACAUCAUGAUACAAGAAUUGUCAUCUUACGAAUAGAAAUAGCAACAAAAUUAAAAUGAGGUAUACAAAAUUAGAUAAAUUUUACUAUAUCUAUAAAGAGUUUUAUUUUUUUAAUUUUUUUCGCUAUGUUCAAAAAUGUCUCUAAUUCUAAUAAGGUAGAUGUCAUCUUACGAUACAAUUGUUGAUGGUUGUUUGACGUUGAUCUACAUAACUCAUGUUGGAUGUAGGAUCAUAGUAGCGAGAAAUAGCAAAAAUACAGUAGCAGUAGACAACAGCGAUAGUAGCAGCAGUAGAUGUAACAACAAUAGUAGCAGUAAACAUAAACAACAAAUUCUGGAACAACAACUGCAAUACAGAAACAAUAAGAACGUAUGGUUGAGUUGAGGAACACGCUAUCUUUAAGAAGUUUUGCGGCUCUGCUCGAGAAUGUGCAAACAAAUAAAUGUCUCAUCGUCCCUAAGGAUAAAACAGCCUCAUGCUUACAACUGACUGAGCACGGAAAUCAGCUUGCAAAAUAAAAUCACUCAACGUCAGACACAAGUUUGCUCGAGAACACCUUUAGAGAGAAUACAAAAGUAAUGUUAUGAUAUAUCUUUAGUAAUGAAGGGAAGACGAUAUAUAUAAUCAUUUGUCAGGGCAGCCAACAGCCACAAAUUAAAUAAGGGAGCAAAUUGUGGGUUGAAAAAAAAACGUCAAAUGGUCGCAAAAUUUAAUUUGACGAAAAUGGUAAGAAAUAAUCAAUUUCCGUUUUGGUUAAUAAAAAAAAGUUCAACAUUCUAAAACAUUCAAAUAAAAUUUUUAGUAAAAAGAAUAUAUAGAUAUUAUUUUAUCUCGACUCUCCUCGUCACGUUCGACAGGCAUACGUACGUUUGUCUAUGAUCUCCUCCCUGCAUUCAAAACUUGGGUGCCUAAGAGUCCAAACCCAUUAUGAUCAACCAAUGAGUAUACGAAAAGGCAUCCACAACCAAAAUUAAUCAACGUGAGAAUGCUUUUGAGAAUAAAAUAAUAUUAUAUUUCAAAGUUUUCAUACAAUGAUAUUAUCAUUCAAAUCGAAUUCGAGUAAUCAUGUUUGUACGUUUGACAAAUUGACUAUCCACACACACAUCCUUUUAGUGUCACACAAUAUGAUCCUCCAUGAACAUCCUAAUCUAUCUAGCUGUUGCCACAUCAAACUAUGUAUAUUGGACCAAAAUCACACAUCAAUAUUGACUUCCUUUAAAUUUUAAAAUACUUGCAUGUAAAUUUUUUAUUUUAUUUUUUGCACCAAGCAAAUCCUUACUUUUGCAAUGACUCAUCUUUCAAAAGAAAAAAGAAAUGAAACACAUGUAAAUUAAAAGUAAAAAUAAAACUAUGGAUUCCAAGAAAGAAUUUAUUCUUUGUGUGGUCGUAUUAAAUACACAACACAAAGGAAGCUUCAUCUAUAUAUAUAUAUAUAUCACAAAAAAAAGCUAAUUAAACCCUUCUUUUUAUAAAGUAAAAGGAAGUUUCUUUCUUAGCACUACGCGUAUUUUUCAAUUUUCACCUUUUUCUGGACGGUUCUUCUCUUAUAUGCUUUACUUCUCUUUUAUUUCAUCCUAUAAAACCCUUCAUUUUUCAUUGAUUUUUCUCAACUGCUCAUCCUUUUGAUAUUGAUUUUAAAGUUACAAACACAAAUUCAAGUUCUUUGAACUUCUUUUGGGAGCCUUUAGAAAUCAAACAAUGACAACCACUUGCCCUCACAGAGAAGCAGAUGAAAUAAAUGGCAAGGAAAAGAAUUUCAUCAAGGUUUGUUUUUUCAACUUUUCCUUUUUCUUAAAAAAAAGAAUUUAACUAUUUUAUUUCAAACUCAAGAUGUUUUUACAGACCUUUUUUUUAAAAACAUUUUUUCUAACGUUAUUUGAUAUUUCAUUCUAUAGGGAAUCACCAAAGUUUAUCCAACAGGAUUUAAUAUUACAUGGGGCAAUGAUGAUCGCUAUUGGAAUAUCACCAAGCCCAAUGUGUAAGUCUCAUGAUCUCUCACAACUGUUAAGAAUAUGGAAUGAGUAAAAUUGUUGUCUUUAUUUUCUUUUAGUUUUGAAGAACGCACCUAGCACUUAAUUAAUAAUGAAAUAAGACCACAGACAAUCUUGUGUUUUUGAAUUUCCUACAAGUUUCCAUUUUUUUUUUUUUUUGUUCUGUUACUACGUUUUAAGCUGACCAGUGAAGAAGAAUGUCAUAAAUAUGAACAAGAAAAGGAAACAUAUAUUAGCUUUGAAACACUAGUUAUACAGCUAUGAAUUCUGAAAAAAGUAGGGAGUUCUUGAAUCCACAUUGUAAGAAGUAGUUGUGUUUUUUGUUUUUUUUUAUAACCAGCGUAAGUACUCAAUAGACCAUGAAAUUGAUAUUUAUUUUUAAAUUAUGGAUCACAAAGUCUCAAGACCAGACAAGAAAAGAAGUGAAGUUAACUAACUCUCUAUACGACUAAUCCCAAUUUUUAAGUCCUUGGGUUAAACACGUCCUUAAAAUUUAUUAUUCUACGAGUUUAAAUUCAGGUUCGAUGGAUUUUUUAAUAAAUUAGACAAGGUACGUGCAAACCAUUCAAAUACACACAAGAAAAGGAAAAUCUAUAUCAAGAAUAAAUUAUAAAAGAUUAAUGUAUAAUAUGUGAUAAUAAAUUGUAAUUCUUUCUUCUUUUCAGGCCAGGAAGUUUAUACGUGGCAGAGUUGAAGCAAGUUUCAUGGCUUGAGGUGACAUGUUCAACUGAUAAUGUAGAAGUUGGGAAAUAUUAUAGAGUGGGUUUCAAUAUAACAAUGAAACCAGAUGCAUUUGGGUGGAAUGGGAUUGAUGUUUAUGUAAUGGCUAAAGUUGGGAAAAAAGGGAAAUUCACAUCCAUGAAAGUUUCUCUUGAAGAGAUAAAACCAGACAACAUACCUAUCACAAUCCCGAAGAAGCCAUUAGAAAUCUUUGUUAAUCCUGUCACACCCGAAGAGUGCAGAAGUACUAUUCAUCUUGGUUUGUAUGAAGUUUGGAGUUCAAAGUGGAAGGGAGGUAUGCAAAUCCACGAUGCAUUCAUUCACAGGGUUUAAUUAAAACUUUUAGCCAUAAACGUCUAUUAGAAAAAUUAGAUUUCAUUUCAUUUUAUUUUAUUUGUGUAUAUGCACAAGUAUACUUUUUGAAGUUUUAAAAUAUGUUUUAUGAGUUGAUGCUUGUAAAAGUUAAAGGAUGUCUUGAUUAUUAUCCAUUAUGAGAUUCUUAUUUUGUAACUAUUUAUUGAAAAGUAUUUUCAUCAUGCAAUGAAUAUCCAUGUGCUUAAACUUUAACUAUACAUUCUAAUCUCAUUAGAAAUUCAUGAAUAUAAUUAACGAGCACUUGAACACAUCCCAAAAUAUAAAAUAAAAAUUAAGCCCAUGAUUCAACAUUUUAAAAUUUGCAUCUAUAAAUGGAAAACCAACAAACCUAGCUCAAUUGAAAUUGUAAAAUGAAAUGUGGAACUACAUUUCACUAAUUACCGCCUGAUUGUAAUAUUACAUUGUUACUCGAUAAAUAUAAAAUAAAAGUUAAGCCCAUGACCCAACAUUUUAAAAUUUACACGAAUGAAAAAUCAAGAUCAACCCCAACCCAAUUGAAACCGUCGGAGGAUUAAAAUGUCCUUAUAGUUAAAAAUACGGAAUUGCAUUUGAUUACCAUCUCAUUGUUAUUGGAUUGUCAUCUGAUGACCACUAAUUAUCAACGAUAUCAGUUACAAAUUGAUUGUUGUCUGAUUACUGUUUGAUUGUUACAUGAUGUUCAUUGUUAAUGAUAUCGGUUUACCAUCUCAUUUCUAUUUAAUUUAAAAUAUUGAUAGUUAUUAAUUGCAGAUGAUAACUGACUAAUAUCUAAUGACCUUACUUUUUUUUUAAUUGCUAAGUGGAGUAUGAUAAUCAUCUCAUUAAAUGAAGAUCUUAAUUAACUAGAUUUGAUAAAAUCAAAGGAAGAAAAGUGUGUGUUUCAUGUAUCAUAAAUAUGUACGUAAAAAAAGAGUAGUGAAAAAUCUAAAUUAUAAUAAUAUGCACCUCAAACACAGACUAAAAUAACAUAGACUACAACACUCUGCCCUCUAAAUGCAGACUAUUAUAACUUACUCAUUGCCUCAAACGCUCCCUAAGUAGUUUCUUAUUACCACCAUACUGUCAUGUGAUGACCUUUCAUUUUUUGUCAAUUGCUAAGGAUUUUUUUAUUGCAUUAUGAGUGUCAUCUCAUUACCUUAUGUUUUUUUUUUUUUUUGCCAAUUAAUAAGUAGUUUUUGAUUACCAUCCAUUUUUGUAAUGUACAUAUAACAUUGUCAAUCAUCUUAUUGUCAGCGUGGAAAUUGACCAUAGGGAAGCUUAACCACGACAACACAAUAUUGAGAUAGUCAUUUGAUUACCUUCUGAUUGUCGUGUGAUUACCUUCUAUUUUUUUUUCAACUUUAGUAAAUCUUAAUGAAAUAAUCAUUUGAUUAUCUUCUUAUUAUCAUCUUACUGCCUUCUACUUUUUUGUUUUCAACUUUAGUUAGCAUUCUAAGAUAGUUAUUUGAUUAGCUUCUGAUUGCCAUUUGAUUACUUUUUUUAUCAUAGCAAUUUUUUAUAUUGCCUUCAAAUUAUAUCAUCAACAUAGAUUUGGGCAAUAAUGUAGUCUUUAUUACAUUUGUUUAUAGACAAGGUUUAACAGUUCCUCGAGUGUAUUCUUUAUGUGUUAGGAAGAUAAUAAGUCGUUCAUACCAAACUUUAAGAACUUUGAGACCAUAUAAAGCUCUAUAAAGCUUGUAGACAUAUACCGAGGACAUUCGAGAUCUAUGAAUCCUUUAGGUUGAGCAAUAUAAACUUGUUCAUUAAGUACUCAUUUAUAAGUUUAAUCUAGCUUUUGUCAACGUUCCUUGAUGUUUUAAAAGGACUUUCACAUUUAUGGAGGCUCUGGUUAGUAGUGAGGUUUGGGAUGCUGAAUUCCAGGUAUAUUGUCCUUGGCCUUUUCACUUCUAUCACCGUGGGCAUUUGAAAUUUAUUUAUUUUCUAUUUUUUUUGCAACCUUAACCGAAUAUCUAUGAUUGUUGAAUAUGAGCCAAGCCAAUGAGAUUGUGUAUGUAAAUUAGUUAAUUAGUGGUUUGACAUUCAAGGAUUUAAUUGAUUUUUAUCAUUUAAUGUCAAUUUUUGAAAUGGGUAAUGGAUUUUAAGCUCAAUAUAUUAUGUUGCCUAAGGUGGUUUCUAUUUUAUUAGGUUGGUAUUGUUGCUCAACACUUAUUGGUUUUUGCUACUACCUUUAUAGUCUCUAGGAUGCAUCCAUUAGGAUGUAAUAUGUGAGUGGCACUUAGAUAUUUGUUAGCAUAUCUACUCUUUAAUCUAACUUCAUUUCAUUAUCCAUUCAAGGCUGUGGAGAGGGAGCAUAUCUAAUUUUCUUUCAUGUUCUGGCAAUUGGCACAAAGUUACUCAUUUGGAAGGAGUCUAAUUUUAUGAAUGAUAUUUCACCAUAUUUUAUUUGAAUUCAAUUCCAAUGACACAAAUGUUAUAUUUUUAGGAAUACUAUUCUUGUAUUUAUGUUGAAGAGUCUGUAAGAUAACUGAUAAUACAUUAGCUAUAUUACUAGUACUUGGAAAGAUUGUGAAAACCUGAAAAGGUCGGCUCUAAGACCCCUUUUUACCUUCACAAUAUUUGAUGGAGAUUUCACACCUCCAAAAACAUGUCUUCAUUUGUUGAAAGGUUUGUUGCUGAGGUAUUCCAUGAUUUACACGAAGAGGUCAUUUCAACAGCCAUAGUCUUAUGAUUCGAGUGCAACAACUUGAGGCAGAGGUUCCUUCAAUUGAGAAAGCAUUUCUGUCCCAGACAAAUCAUACAUCUUUCUUCACUAGUACAUGUUCGUCUAUCACAUAUAUUGUUAUAUUUUUGCCAACAGUCAUGGUCACCACAUUGUUUAUAUUGAUGAACUUGAACAAUUAAUUAGAGAUCAUGAACUGGUACAAACAAAUGAAUUCACGUUCCCUCGUUUUCCACUUUAUUUUUUUAUUAUUUUAAAGAAUGUGAUUUAGGGGCUUAGAAGGUUCUAAUUUCUAGUCUUUCGUGGUUAUUUUAUGAUUUUAAUUGGAAGUUUGAAUCAGUUUCUGUUCUAAAAAAAUGUGUAGCGCACUUUUUCACCCCCACUUCUUCCAUUCAACGUCUUUCUGUGGCUUUUUCUUACACAUAAAGACAAAAUCGUGCAGAUUUUGAUUGUUCCAACUAAACUCUUUAUACAUGGAAUUUCCGUUGUAGAAUAGUUUCUUUAUUUGAUGAUAGUUGGUUUUGUAGCUAACUUAACUUCUAUCACUGAUAGUACUUAAAUGUAUAUCCUAUUGAUUGACAACAUUUUAUUCUUUUUCUUUUUUACAUUCUCCUGUGUUUGCUAUAGAGUAAAAUUUUUUGUGACUGUCUGCUAUAUUUAUGUUGUACUCUCUUUAAGCGAGUUGUACUCUCUUGCACUGUGAUGUAUGCUUAUAUUCAUGUGGUUUUUGUAGGUUCAACUGGAGCCGACAACUUCAUGAGUUUUGGUUCAAAGAAGUUUAUAUGGACCAUCAAAAUACACUGGCUAGCAUGGUUCAAGCAACAAAACAUAUUUUCAGAGAUGAAGGCUUACCAAUUGGUUGUUUAUGCUUGUGCAGAAAAUCAUAUUAUAUGUAUUUUGAUGGUAUUUUUACUGGUUUUGAUUAAGGGUUAGAAUUUCAUAGUUUCUGUUUUUUAUGUACUUGUAAAUUGUUUCAAACUUGAUUAAAAAUGUACGAAUAUUACCAAGUGUAUUAUAGCGUAUAUAUAUUAAAAUGUCAACUGUUUGUUUCUAUAUGGGUGUGAUGUAUUAGAACAUUAUUGUUAUUCAAAUGGUUCGUGUAAUGACAAAGCGGUAAGAAGAACACGAUAAACUAUAGUAAUUGAGGAAUUUGCAACGAGAAAAAAAUGUCAUAAUAUAUGAAUUCGUGACAUUUCUUAAUUGUUUUCAAUAUUAAAACAAUGACAAUUUUUAUAAAAAAAAAACUGUCAUGAUUGACCUAUCUUUGGCAGAAAAAAAUGUCGUCAAUAGCAAAACAAUGACAUUUUAUUUUAUAAAAAAUUGCCACGAUUGACAUAUGUUUGAUAGAAAAAAUUGUCAUAAAAUAUGAAUUCGUGACAUUUUUUUAACUGUCAUCAAUUUUGAAAAGAUGACAUUUAUUUUUAUAAAAACUGUCACGAUUGACAUAUCAUUGACAUUAAAAAAAUGUCAUAAUAAACAAAUUUGUGACAUUUUUUUUAACUGUCGCUAAUAUGCAAAUGAUGACAGUUAUUCGUUGUCAUAAAAUAAAAUGUUACAGUUAUUUGUUGUCAUAACAUAGUAAUUAAUGACAUUUAUUUUCAGUCAUGAAAAUACUUAUUGAGACAGUUUUCGAAAACAGUCAUGGAAAAACUUUUCACAACAGGCAAUAUUAUGACUGUAAAUCACUAUCACGAAUUUUGUUCGUGACAAAAAAUAACUUCAUCGUAGACCAUUUUUGUUGUAAUGUUGGAUAUGACCUUAACGUAGUUAUUUUUUAUAGGAAAACAAAAAUUUUCAAUUAAUGCUCAACGUAUAUAAAUUCCGAGGGAAGAAAAGGAAAAAACAAUGGGAGAACAAUGAUAAAGUAAAAAAUAAGCAUCCAAAAAAUAGAGUGAGCAAAGUGGCCCAUAAAUGAUGUAAUAGGGUGCGAAAGGAUGAGUCCUUCAAACAUUUCUGUAUUGGAACUUUUCUGUAUCAUCACACAUUAAUAGAACUAUUUAUUGUCUACAAAUCUAUUUCCUUCUUUCUCUUAAAUGCGAAAGAGAUGUUAUUUUCUUCUGUUUGUUUGUUCAAUUUCCCUAUUUGCUUUCUUUUUAAUAAUCUCAACGAGACUUUUUCAACUAAUUUACGCUCAUUAGAUUUACAAUUAUAGAAAAUCAUGGAUACACAAAAGUAGAUUAUCCAAAGUUCGUGAGUUCGGUGUGAAAAACUUCAUCAAACUUUAGUAGAAAGGGUGUUAGACAUUAUUUAUAUGUUAAUAAUAUUGAUGAAAGUUAUAAAAUUUGGUUUUAGCAUGAGGAAGUACUUCUAACUCAGCCUUUUAUGAAGAAUCUUCAAAGUUUGACACACAUACAUGUGAAGAGAAUGAUGUUGGAAGUGUAAAAGAAAUGAUUGAAGUUGUUCAUAAGAAGUAUUCAAAAGACUCAAAUGGAUUUGAGAAGUUGCUUAUUGAUGCUGAAAAACCAUUAUACGAAGGAUGCAAAAUGUACAACAAAUUGUCUACUCUACUUAAAUUGUAUAAUUUUAAAAGAUGUAUGGAUGGAUCGAUACUAGUUUUUCAGAAUUACUCAAAACUUUGAAGAAAAUUCUGCCUACUAUCAAUGAGUUGCAAAAUUCAUUAUAUAAGAAGCAAAGAAAACACGCCCUAAAAAUUGUGUUGUCUCUACGGGAAAAAAUAUGUUAAUGCAAUUGAAUGUAGAACUUUGGUCAAUCAAGGUGGAAAAACGUUAAUGAUACAAAUGAAGAGUGAAAGCGAAUUUUCUCAAAAAGGAUAUGAUACUUUCGACCAAUUCCACGAUUCAAAAGGCUAUUCAUAAGUAUUGAAUGUGCUAAAAACUUGACUUAGCAUGCUAGUGAAAGAAUUAAGGAUGGUAAGUUACGACAUCUAGUAAUCUCUUCAGCAUGGAAGCUAGUAGACUUUAAAUGGUCAGGCUUUGGCUUUGAACCUAAAAAUCUUCGUUUAGCAUUGUCAGUGGAUGGAGUAAAACCUUUAAAUACAGUUGACAAUGCUACAUUUAAAACUCAAUGAUACAUCCGAUGGAGUAAAUCUUCGUUUUAAAUAAAGUUGUUGGCCGAUAGUGAUGGUUAUUUAUAAUGUUCCACCAUGGUUGUUUAUGAAAAGAAAAGACAUGAUGUUAUGAAUGCUAAUUUUAGGGCCAUGACAACCGGCAAAUAAUAUAGGCACAUACAUAGCACCACUAAUUGAAGAUUUAAAACUUUUAUGGAAAAGUGGUGUUGAAUGUUAUAAUUCUUAUUGAGAAUAAAUAUUCAACUUAAUGUCAUUUUUGUUGUGACCGAUCAACGAUUUUCCUUCGUAUGGUAACCGUAGUGGAUGUGUUAAAAGAGACAUGUAAUUUGGGAAGAAAAUAGCAUGCCUAGAACAUCAAAGAUUUCUAGCAGGCAAUCGUCUGUAUCAAUGAUAAAAGAAGUCAUUAUUCAAUGGUAAAAAAAGAGCUUGGUACAAUUCCAUAACCACUUUUUGGGAAGGUUAUGUAUUUAAAAUUGAAAGAUCUUGAGUUUCCUAGAGAGAAGAAGAACCAUAAGAAGAUGUCAAUGAACAUAAUGAAAAGAUUUAUGUAACGCUCCAAAAAUUAAGAUAAUAUUUAAUUUGAUUAUCUUAAUUUUAUUUAAUUAUGUAGGAAGUAUUGGACGUUAAUUUAAAAUAUUUGAUUUAGAAUUGAUGGUCUUAUGAAAUAAGAAUUAAUUUAAUAUUUCUUGGUUGAAUAUUUGAUUAAUUUAUAGAAUUUGAUUUUUGAUGGUGUUGAGAUUGAACUUAAUUAAAUAAAUUGAGUGUUUAUUUAAUUAAAUUAAAAGGUAAAAAUUUUGUUACUAGACAUUUGAUAAUUAUAUGUCCAUGUGGUUAUAUAUAUAUAAUUAUUAUGGAAAAGAGUAAACAUAAUUUUAUCUAUAAAAAAUUAGUUAUUGUGGAAGAUAAUUAAUUAUUUUGGAGAAAGAUGAAUAUUGAUUGUCGAGAGAAGGGUAUGAUCGGGUAAAUAAGGAAAGGGAAGGAAUGAGAUUUAUUUAAAAGUAAAAUUGAUAAUUAUAUAUUGGGAAUAUAAUUAUUGAAAAAUGUUUGAGUUUUUAUUAAUUAUAUUUAAAUUAUUUCACUGUUAUAUUAAGGAUUGGAGCUAAAAUUUAAUUAUUAGAUUAAGAUAAGGGAAAUUUUUAACAAUAGUAGAUUUUACAAAAUUAUUUACAACUUAUAGUAAAUUCCAUCACUGAUAGUCAUUGAUAUGUUGCAAUGAUAGAAGACUAUUAGUGAUAAAAUCCAAAAUUUUGCUAUAGCUUAUAAAUAUUUAAUUUAUUUUGCUAUUUUUAAAAAUGCCACUUCAGACAUAUCAUAUUAACAUUUAUGAUAUUUUAAAAUAAUUGAUUUAUUGGAGAAGAUUUGGUUAAGUAAAAGAAUCGUGGAUUUAAGUUAAUUUAAAAUUUUGAAAGCAAAAGCUAGUUUUUGUGGUAUGAAAUUAAUUAUAUAUAUAUAUAUAUAUAUAUAUUUAAUUAAGAAUUUAGAUUUUAGUAGAAUAUGAUAUUAAUUAUUGAUUUUGUAUAAAUAAUUAAGGGGCAUUUUUUAAAAUAAUAAAAUAAAUUAAAAUAUUUACAUGUUAUGACAAAAUUUUUAAUUCUAUAACUGAUAGUCUUCUAUCACUGUAGCAUAUCAGAUAAAAUUUGUUAUAACUUGUAAAUAUUUUGUAAAAUUUGUUAUUUUUGAAACUUUUCCAAUAAUUAAUAUGAAAAAGUAAAGUUAGUUAUAUGAUGUAAUAUAAUUAUAAUUGUUUGGAAAUUAAGAUAUAAUCUAUAAGAAGAGAGAUGAUUGAUUUGAUUGAACGAGAAAAGAUGAUAUAUAUAAUUUGGAGAUAGAAAAAUGGUUUAAAUAAAGAAAAACUAUAAAAAAUUGCAAAUUUGACAAAAUAUUUAUAACAUAUAGUAAAAUAUUCAGAUUCUAUCAAUAAUAGACAUCGAUAGCCACGGAUAUGCUUUUAUCAAUAACAUUAAUAAACAAUGAUAGAAGUCUAUCGGUGACCAUUAUUGAUAGAAUCCAAAAUUUUGUUAAAGCUUGUAAAUAUUUUAAUUUAUUUUGUUAUUUUUAAAAGGAAAAUUACAUCAAAUAACAGAAACAUUUAAAAAAAAUAGUUUAUGACAUCAAUUUUUUGCAUAUUGCGAAUAUGAAAAAAUUAGUGAUAUCAUACGACUAUCAAAUGAUAAUCGUAGGGUUAUCGGAGGGCUAUUAGAUUAUAAUCAUAGCGCUAUCAGAGGGUCAUCACUUUUAAAUUUGUUACUUCUGCAAAUUUAGAAAAUGUUGUGACAUUGGCUUUAUUAUCAUAAUUUUUUUUUUGCUAUUUUUGUAAAAGUUCCUUUUAAGAAUGUUUCUAAAUAAAUAUAUAUGUUUUAUUAUAUAUUUUGGUGAGAGAAUAAUAAUAAUAAUAAAGAAGUUUUAUUAUUAUUAUUAUUAUUAUUAUUAUUAAUAUUAUUAAUAUUAUUAAUGAUUAUGAAUACCUAAGAUUUUGUGCGCUUAUGUAAUUUAUUGUUGAAAGAUAAUGAGAAUUUAUAUAUGUAUAUAUUGGUAUGAUAUAUGUAUAUAUGUAUGUAUAUAUAUGUAUGUAUCCUAAAAGGAAAAGUAAACAAUAAAGAUAAAUUUUAUUAUUUAGGUCUAUAAAUAGCAUUGAAAUGCUCUAAAAGAGAAACAAAAAAAAAAGAAAAGGUUCUUCAUCUUCUUGACUAAGUUUAUUAUUGGAAUUGAUUUUGGUUGCAUGUCUUUGGAAAGUCCAUUUGACAAAUUUAAAUAAUAAAUUUUUUCCAUCAUGGUUAAAUUGGUUUCAACCUCAAUUUUGAGAUCGAUUUAAUCAGAAACUUUUUACUAUCAGCUAGAGAGUAUUAUGUUUAGUUAAUCUCUCACGUAAGAGAUUCUACUAUUGGACAAUCAAACAUAAAAUUAAGAAUUUGCAUGUAUUUUUCCUUAUUAUGCAUUGAUUUAGUUAAGAUGCAUAUUGUAUUGAUAUUGAUGACUGAUGUUGAUGAUUGAUAUUGAUGACUGAUAUGUUAUGACGACGCAUGAUAUAUUAAUCACAUGAUAAGAACGUUAUGAGUGAUAUACAUGUCAUGUUAUGAUGUUUAUGAUGUUGCUACAUGCUUUUGUGGUCAUUCGCAUGAGUAGGGGUGUUCCUACGAGACCACUCGCACAAUUUAGAAGUGUACCUACGUAUCACAUGCACGAUUAAAGGACAUUUUUACUGUAUACGGGGUCACUCGCACGACUAGGGGUGUUUCUAUAUAUAGGCCACUUGCACAAUUAGGAGUGUUUGUAUGAUCUCACUCGCUCAAGUGUGCUCUAUUGGAUACACAACAUUAUUAUUAUGUUUCUAACAGAAAGUUAACAGAUCACCUAACGGGACAAGUAGUGGGUCCCUUACUGGGUAUAUUUUAUAUACUCACUAUUUUCUAUGUUUCAUAUUUCAAACAAAGGUAGAGGAUCGAAAAACUGGCAAGCGACAUGAAAGGUCGGUGACAUGCUAUAUUGGGACUCAGUUUUGCUUCUACCUCUAUGUAUUAGAAUUUUAGUAUUUUGGUUUUAGAAACCUUAUUUAAAGUUUAUCUUUAUUUCUUUUAAAAAAAAUUAUUAGUACCCGCAGUUCACGUUUUCAAAUUAUUUUUAUUUGUUUUGUUGAUUUUAUGUCUUCAACCAUUUAUUGAUAUUAGUUUUAUAAAACUUCUAGUUUUCUUUUUUCAUUUUUAAAUGUAAAUGAUUAUUUGUCUUUCAGUAAUGACCUUUACUUAGUUUAAAAGUAUGGGUCGUUACAGUUUUUUGAGUUGUCAUAUUAGAAAGAUCUUCAUAUUAGACAUUGUUUAGAUGUGAUGCACAUUGUAAAAAAUGUUUGUAUGAAUAUCUCAGGUACACUUCUUGGUAUACUUGAAAAAAGUAAGGAUGAGUUGAAUACUAGACAUAAUUUAAUUUAUCUAAAACUUUAACAAAAACUUGUCCGUAAAACAAAAGUAAAAAAAAAAAAAAAUCAUUCCUCUCGCAUGUUAUGCUCUUACAAAGGAAGAAAAACAAUGUGUUUUGAAGAGUUUAUUCGAAAUAAAGGUUCUUGAGGGUUACUCUUACAAUAUUAGAAACCUUGUGUCAAUGAUAGAUUUAAAACUUAACUAGUUUAAAAUCUCAUGAUUGUCAUGUGCUCAUACAACAGUUUUUUCUUUCCCAUCGCGAUAAGAUCAUUGCUAUCAUAACAUGUUCAUUAUGCUAUAAUUUAGGUUUUGCAUAUUUUUCAAUUCUAUAUGUAACAAGGUAUUAGAUGCACAACAAUUAGACAAGUUGGAAGAAGAUAUUGUGGUAACAUUGUGUUUAUUUGAGAAGUAUUUUUCCCAUAAUCUCACACCAACAAUUCAUUUCAAAUAAUGUAAAAUUUCACAUGACUGCCUAUUUCAUAUAUUAUACAAUUCUUAACUCCAAUUUAAUAAGCUAACCUAAAGAAAAGGCAGUAUGAGAAUAAAUUCAAUAUAGAAGAGGAAAAGCAUUGGGCUCAUUAUAAAAGCCUUUUAUUUCAACUUCGUUACCUUGAGUUACAAUCUCCAUUGAACUAUGGCAUUAAUGAUUUCCAAAUUCAUUAAGAUAUUGAUUGACUUAGGUCAAACAUAGCUUUCUAAAUUUUAUAAUAAUUAGCAAAUAAUAACAAUCAGAAGAUUACCCUGUGGUUUUGCCCUACUUGUAUACAACUUGGUGUGGGAUGAAUAACCUUGUUCAUAAGCCACAAGCACAACUCAUCACCUAAGACUACACCUGGACCUCCAACCAUUGGUUAAUUCUCCAAGUAAAGUUCACACACAGUUGUACAAAACCUAUAGAAAAAAUUAUGUUCAAGAAAGGUCGUAAUUGUAAAGUUCAAUCUACUCCACUGAAAUUGAGUUAUAAUGAGUUUGAGAAUGGUGAGCACAGUGAAUUGAGAAAAUAAAAUCAGCAAUUGAUUCUUCUUCCAUCAUUCUUGGAGAUUCAAAUUUUGACCUUAAUAUUUGUAGUGGUGAGGUUUUUACUUUUGAAGUUCCUUCGUAAGCUACUUCAAGAAUCUUCCAAGCUUGUCCUGUCCAAAUACUUGUAUUUAUUAAUUUAAGCACACUUUGAACAACUCCAUCGUAGAUAGCAUUAAGUGCACGCGAAUUUCUAAGAGAAGCUUGAUCUUCCGCUUCAAUUCAUUCUAUUUUAGGUUUAAGAGUUGUUUUACCAUCAAUUUUUUAUACUAGGAGGUUCCCAUCCAGUAACAACAGCUUUCCAUGUUUUACUAUUAAUGGAUUUGAGAAAUAUAGUCAUGUGAGCCCUCCAUUAAGCAUAAUUUGUGCCAUCAAGGACAUAUGGUCAAGUAGUAGACCCUCAUAUUCUUUAAUUAGAUCAAUUUCAUUAUACCCUUAGUUUGAUACCAAUUGAAAAAGUAAAAUAUAUUACUUUUUAAGUUGUUACUUUAGUUAGAGGCUAAAUUUAUAAUUAAGGAAACAAGAAGUAAACAUAACGUUGGAACUUUGAAACUUUGAUAAUCGACUUUGAUCAAUAUCACCUAUUUCUAGAGAGCUUUGAAGGUUAGAUAAAUUUAUUUUAUUAAGAUUCAAAUUAGUAUAAUUUUGAGAAAAAAAAUACUAUAUAACACUUUAUUAAACUAGAUGCCACUUUCUCUAGAUUGAUACGCUUUUAGUAAUUGAUAUUUACUAAAAGAAUUCGACUCCCCUUUGAACCUAUUGAAGAUUAUUAGGCUCCCCUAAUUUUUAUAUAAUUGAACACAUCCAAUUAUUAAGGUCUUUUUUUAAUCUCUUAUCUUCGUAUAUCUUGAAUCGGUCUUGAAAAAAUCAUAUAGUCUUCAUUAAAAUAUAUGUUUAUAAGAUAAAGACUAAUCUUAGACAAAGAUCCUUCUAUGUGGCUUUUUGUUGAAUGCGUCUUAUUGAAUACCUAGAAGGAGAAUGAAAGUUCAUUUUUAUAAAUAGAUAUUGAUAAAGGUCGAACCAAAAUUGGAAAAGUAAUCUUUAAAGAUAUUUUAGUUAAAAAAUCAAUCUUUAAAGAUGAUUCUUGAUCAAAGAUCUUGAAGAGACUUGGUGAUGAAGAAGUAAAAAAUAUCUUCUUGAACAAAUUUUCAUGUUAGAGAAAAAGUGAAUUCUUACCAACUUAGAAGAUAUUUUAAAAUAGUUCUUUUAAAUAAAUAAUUUUUUGUAAAAAACGUAACAGUAUGUUAAAACAUUCAUAUUUGAAGGACAUCAUAUACCAGUUUUUUAAUAAGUGACAAACAAAAUCAAGAGAAGUCUACUCUUAUUUCAUAAAGUGAAAAACUAUUCUGAUCUGGAUUCGCCCAUCCAAUCUGCUAAAGAACUAUAUGCUAUUCCAAAAGGAUGAAAAGAGGAAAGGAAGGAAGGAAGGAAAGAGAGAUCCAAAAACGAAGAGAGACACAUUCCAAUUGGGCACUAAGCAAGAAAAUUUUGAAGAGAAUUCGAUUCUUGUUUCUCCUUGUGAUUGCAUGAUACAAAAGCUUUAUCGCAAAUGAUUUGAUUCUUUGGUUGAGGUCCAACUCUUUCAAUUUGGUUUAGAUACCAAAUUCUACAAAAUUGGAAUAUAUUCACACAAGCGCUUCCUUCCAUCUUUCUUCCUCCAUAAAAAAAGGCUUCUAGUUGACGCUGUUAAUUACUAUAUAUCAAUGAAGUAAAGAGGGAAAAGAAAAGCUUCAAUAAUUAACUACAAUUACCAAAACUAAGUUGAUCGAUGCCUUUUCUAGGUCGGAGACUAAUCAGACCACCUUCCGAUCCUCACUUUCGAGCUGUUACUUCUGUAAAUACUAUUGGUGUAAGCUUCCAAAAUCUCAUUUAUGAUUUAUAUACUAAUUUUUUUUUAUUUAUAUUAUCAAUUGUCACAACUAUGUCAUAAAUCUAAUUAAUUCGAAUGAAACCAUAUCUCUAGAUCUCUAUACAACGACUUUGUUAUUAGGCUUAACUUACUAGUAUAUAUAAGAUUGUUGUUGGUAAAAACAUGAGUAGUUCAUUAAAUUGUUACGUACGUAUUAUUAUUUUUCAGCGUUUUUAAAUUCACAACCAGAUCACAAUUCUCAAUCUCUUUUUCUUUCUUUCUAAAUUUAAAGUUUUCAAAUGGUUUGGGUUUGUUCAUAGGUUUUAUGUGCUUAUAAACUUUAAUAUUAUACUAAUUUGGCAUUAGAAGAAAGUAUCUAUAAUUCAGUUUAAAUAUAGUUGUGUUUGAUAUGCUUAUCAAAGGGUUUGCAAAUGAGUAAAAUUUGUGUCCUUAAAAGUUACUAAUGUUUGGGUUAACUCUUAAUUAUAGAGAGGUAAAAACAAAUAUAAAUAAAACUUAGAAGUCUUGACUAAUUAUUUCUUUCAAAAGUGCUUAGGUAAUUAGUGUUUUAGUUAAAAAAGAAAAAAUAACAAAAAGAAAAAGUUUAGUCUUUCCCUGUACAAAGGGUUGUUUGAGGUCCAAACACAAGAUAAAUGAAUUCAAAUUAGUUUAUUAGUGUUUGAGUUAGGAAGAAAAUGUGAAAGUUUAUCUUUUUAAUCAUUCAAUCUUUAAUAAUGAAGUUUAGUUUUUGAAUUUUCAUAACCUAGCCUUUUAGUCCCUUAAUCGUUAAAAUGUGUUUAAAAAGUUAAUUUUUUAAUGUUAAAUUAUAAAAAGAAUUUGGAAAAGAUAAGUUUACUAUUUAAAAUUACUUUUAAAAAAUCAAUUUGAAACUGCUAUACAAUAUACAUAUAUAUAUAUAUACAUAUAGUUGAUUUUACGGAAUAAAUCUCUAUUUCAUUGAUAAUUUAGUAGAGUACGGAAAUAAUAUCAAAAUAAUAUCAACUAAAAAUAAUUUUAUUACGUUAAUACAUAUAUAUAUUACAUUAGGAAAAAUUUAAACCUAGCCUAAGAGGAACCUUAUAUAAAGACGGUAAUUAACAAGAAAAAUUAUUUUAAAUAACAAAUUUGUUUAAAUAAUUAUAAAUAUAGUAAAAUAUUACUAUCUAUAUAAUAUUGUUAUGUUAUAGAAGAUAGACUACUAUAUAAUUAUUGUAAUAAUGAUAAAUAUUGGUUUGUCGUAGUUCAUCGUAUAUAAAGUGAGAUAUUUUAAAUAUCUCACUCAAUUUAGUUAUAUUUGAAAAUGUUUUUAAAUUUUGUUUGGAUAGAAGUAAAAGAUGAUAUAUAAUGUCAUAUUGUUAAAAGAAGACGAUGUAAACAAAGGUUUUAUCAUAUUUGUAAUAUAACAUUUAAAUUGAGGAUAGUCACAAUGUUUUAGGAGGACACAUUCAAAAUUUAUCCAAGGGCUCUAAAUAUUACAUGGGGCAGUGAUAGACGAUAUUGGACCAUACCUCGUCGAGACCGGUAAGCUUCAUCUUUUUAACUUUUCUCUAUUUUAUUAUAUUUUGAUGCUUAGCUUCCUUUUCUUAGAACAUAAAUUCAACUUUAAUUUUCCAACCUACCAUAAUUUAACCAAUUUAGGUAUAUAUAUUUUCCAUGCAUAAGAAAAGAAAAGAAAAAUUCUUAUCUCAUACCAUAUAUAUGUUAAAUACCGAAAUAAUAAUAAAGAAAAUAUACUUUUUUGUUCUAAUGUUUUGAGUAAUGGGUAUAUUUGGUUCCUUGAAGGUUCAAAAUAGAAGUUUUUAGUCAGUAGGUUUCGAAAAAUAAUAAGAGUUUUUUUGUUUGAUUUUGAUCGAUUUUUGGUCUCUAUAAUUGGUGAUAUCUUAUAUAAAAAUGGAAUCUGGGGUAAGAGAUGGAAAAAGAAGGUUGGUGAAGGUUGAGGUGCCGGAAAAGUUGGAAGAAGAAGUGGCGGAAGAGGAGGUUGAGGUGAAGGUUGGUGAGGGGCAAGGUGUGAGAGAGAGAGAGAGAGGGAUCCAUCCCUAAAAUAAAAUAGGAACGAUAAAGAUGUAUUUUCUAAUAAUAAAACAAAAAACAAAUCUUUUUUACAAACUCCUCCUUUUAUGUUUAGCCUUAUUAAUGUAUAUUUUAUAGUGGUUCUUAAGUUUUCAGUUCAGGAUUAUAUUGACUGGGUGGGCGGUUUGUGUAGGACGACGGAUGAUGAAGAUGAAGAUUAUUUUGCUGAGUUAAAACAAGUAUGUUGGUUAGAAGUAACAGGUUCAACCAACAGAGAUCUUGUGCCUGAAAAAACGUACAAAGUUUCUUUUGGUGUCUCACUAGGACCCGAUGCUUUUGGAUGGGAUGAUUGUAGCGUUUACAUAAUGGCUAAGAUUGGUAAAAAGGGAAAUUUCCGUUUCCAGAAAGUGAAUCUUGGAAUCAUAACUACUACAACUGAUCCAGAAAUUUCCUUGAUUCCUUUUACUGAAUUGACUGUUACAGUACCUACGCCCAGAACUAAUAAUAAUAAUGAUGAUCUCAAGCUCUACUUUGGUCUCUAUGAUGUUUGGACCAAUAGGUGGAAGGGAGGGUUGAGGAUCCAUUAUGCAUUGGUUGAAAUGGUCAUUGGUUCUAAUAAUGAUACUCAAACCAAUUAAACAGAAUAGUAGGUGACCACUCAUAUAUAUUUCAUGAUUAAUGGAAGGGCACAUGAUCUUUUGUACAUCAAACAUCCAUGAAUGUUCUUCAGAUUGUGUAAUCCAUAUGCAUGUAAUAAAAUUCAGUCAUAUGUGGCUGUUUCAUUUUUUAUUUGAAUUCUUAAAUUUAUGUUCUACCGUAAAUAAAUAAAAAAAAUUGAAUUCCUGUUAACUUUUCCAAUUUUGAAAAUGUAGCAAGUUUUUAAUUAACUUGAUAUUUUUUAUUUUAAACUUUUAAUUAUUUCAAAACUAUCCUUCUUCUCCACCGUUCUUCUCUUCGGUUUGUUUUUCAAUUACGUUUCUCCUCUUCCUCUGCUUUUUUCUUCUUUUAUUCCCCUCCUUCAUUCUUUAUCUUACAGGGAAAACAAUUUGUUUCUUCAACUACAUAUUUCUUUUUCCCCUUUUUUUAAAAUCCUAAUCAUUAUUUCAAACAAUUUGUUUUUCUUAACCGGUAGAUUACGAUUGGUGUCUAAAAUUGGUAGGGGAGAUUUGAUCGUCUUCUUCUCUCCUCCUUCUGCUGCCCCUCUUUCUACUGAUCCUCCAACUUCUUCUGCUCUUCCUCCUCCUCCUUCUCCAUCUUUUGUUGUGAAUCACUCGUAUUUAUUAUUUAUUGAAAUUAAAGCUACCAUUUAUUCUUCUCAAUCUUGAUCUUGAUUUUAGAAUAUCAAUUAUAUAUUAAUUGUAUUAUGAAAUAUAAUAGUUGUUGAUCGGAUUAACUUAACUUCUGUUUGUGAAUGUUCAUUACUUUGUUCGAUAUGUAUUUUGGAGUUGAAUCUAUUUUCAAAUGAUUUAGUUUUAUUUUCUUUUACAUUAUUAAUUAUGUUUUGGUUUUAAUUUGUAUCAGUUUUGUGUAUCAAUAUUGUGAUGUACUUAUAUUAUAUAUGUAUUAGUUAAGUUGGUUGAUAUACUUACUAUGAGAUUUUCAUUUUUGCAAAACUUUUGCACUACUUCAUUAUAGUUAUGGUUAAGUAUAUAAUAAAUUAUAUGUAUCAAGUGUAUGAAUUGUAUAAACUAGUAGUGCAAUUAUAUGAAUGAUAUAAUUUAGUGUAUCAAUCAAUAAUACAUUAGUAAAAUAUAUCAGUACAUUAGUAAAGUGAUCAUUAUCAAGUUUACAUGUAUAUAUCAAUAGUGUAUAAAUAGGACUUCAAGUGUAACAAACAAAUUACGUGUAUCAAUUGUAUCAAAUUCUUUUAGUUUACCAGUGAAGCAUAACAAGUUUAACAGCAGUGCAUCAAGUAUAACAAAAUUAACAUUUAAGCAUUUAAGUAUAUUAAAAAAAUCAAAUAUAUUAGUGAAACACAAUGUGAGGACAAGUUUGUAGCUUUCCAUUUUCAAAUAUAAUUUAGGUUGGGUUUGGGUUUUGACAUUUUUGCAAAACCAAAAGUUGUGUUAUAGGCCUAAUUGAUUGAACCUAUUAAUUAUUAUGUUAAAUGUGCAAGAAUUCCUAAAAAUCAUAGUGAAUGUAUUUUAAAUACAUCAACAAGUUAAGUUAUCAAACAUCAAACAAUAAACGUAUAAAUAUUUUAAAUACUCAAAUGUAUCAAACAUCAAUCAAUAAAUACUUGAAGUAACAUUCCAUGAGCAUUGACAAUAUAUGAAAGUAUCGACAAUUAUAUAUAACAAUAAUCAUCAUUUCAAAUACAUCAACAAUAUCUUACAGCAACUUACAACUUACAACUUAUAACUGACAACAUUCAAUCAAUAAUUUAUUUUGGAGUAAAAGUACAUGUGUUACAUUUUAAGGGUAUCGGGUGUGUUAUGUGAGACCCGUUUCUAAUUUGAGUAAGGAAGUAAAAUUCGGCCAAGUAUUAAGAAGUUGGUGUUUAAAUAAAUCUAUGUAAAGGAUUAAGCAUAAAAUCUUUACUGGUUAAGUAUACGUCUUUAUGAUUAAGUGGAUAGUUCACGAAAGAAGUUGUGUGAUAAGACGAGAAAAAGUCUUAACGUAAGUUAAGAAAUUGAAGUUUUGAGUGUUAGACUAGGAGUUUUGGGUGGUCUUCGCGAGAAGAACCAAGUGUUUCACGGAGAAGAAGUCUGCGAGGAAGCCUUGGUGUUUCAGUUUGCGAUAAAAGUUUUGUGCGAGUAAAAGUUGGUUAGGUCGUGUGGAAGAUUUCUUAUAGUAAAAAUAUAACCACGUGAUAAGGUUAUUCACAAGAAAUGUUAAGUGGUUAAAGUUAUUCGCGGUUUGGGUUUGGCAGGAAGCAAGGUUUGGCAAAGAAAAUGUCAAAUCUGAUUUGAUAGACGUUAAUGUGUAAGAUUAAGGAUUUAAGCAUGGCUAUGUUGAAUACUAAAUUUACACGUGUGAAGUUUUAAGCAAGAGCUGGCGAACCGAGAAGAGUUUAUGCUUGACUAAAUUAGUUUAAGGGCUAUAUAAAUAUGAGGAUUUGGGUAACUAAGGAGGGGAUUAUUAGAGUUUUGUUGAAAUGUUAAGUGUUCUUGGUUUAGCCAUGCGAGAAGAUGCUUGCGGAAAAGACUUUUUUAGUAAAGUUUGGUUAGUGCUUUUCUCUCAAAUGAAUUUAUGUUAAAAAAAAUUAUUAUGAUUUCUCUUUACUAAUUUAAAAGAAGAAUUCAAAUGAAAAUGUUUGAAAGAGAUUUCUAUGAAAAAUUAUGUUUUCAAUAAUUAUUUAUAGUGUUAAAGCUUGAUUUGAUGAUUAUGAUUUCAAUACUAUAUUUCUUUGAGAUGAUGCUAACUUUUAUGUGCACAUAAAGAAUCAAUGCCAUCAUAGGAUGUACGGUCUAUAUGGUGAUAAGAAGUUAGCUUAUGUAUUGAAAGGAGCAUAUAAAGCUUAGCGGUCUGAGCAACAAUGACGAAUUUGUAUGUUCUCAGAUGUUGUUGAUACAGUAGUCUAAACGCGAGGUAAUGAGACCAAACAUAGAAAACGAAUCGGGUUCCUUGGCAAAAUUAAAUGAUUUGUUAAGCAUAAAUAAAAGUUUAUGCGAAAUUAAAUGAUUUAUCGAUAUGUUUAAAUGAUUUGAUAUUAUUUCUACGAAAUGAUUAUGAAAAGGUAUUGCGAAAGGUUUUUAUAAAACCCCACUAAAUCUUUUAGACUUAUGUUUUAAAAUUUUAUCUUCCAGGAUCAGGUGUUUAGGCUAAGUAGAGAAGAAUGUUGAAGAAUUUGCGGUGAGGUGAUUCAACGCGUUUUAAAAAUGGUUAAGCAUUGGUUAUUUGGUCAAAAUAUUGUAAUAAUAAUGUAUGAUUAUCUAAAGAAGGAAGCUUGAGAAGUGUUGUCCCUAACUGUGGAAACAUAGUUUUUGACAUGGGCAGGGGUCAAUUGGUAUACUAAAAGAAUCUAACUAGGAACACUAAGAAAUGAUAUGUAAAAAAAAUAUAUCAAAGGGCUUGAGAUCAUGAUAUGUAAUAUUCUAUCAAACGCUCCAAAUUGAUUGGAAUCUGAAAUGAUUUAUUUUUAAAUUGAACACUUGAAGAUUGGUUUAAUAUUUCAGGUUUUGGAGGUAUGUCUGUGGCACUAAUUCUUGGUUGUAUUUUUCUUAUUUUUAUUUGUACUAGUUAGUCCUUUGAGCCGCUGCAAUGAUAUGCAUCCAAGUGAACUUUACUUUAAGGUGUGGGCAAUUGUGAACUCAUCAAUCUACCCCUCGUACUUAAAGCUCUAACAUUGAAAAUAAAACUAAUAACAGUUUAUGUUAUCAAUUGGAUCCUUCGUGGAUUGAGUAUUUAGAUCUUGGGUCUGUGAUAGAAUAGCAUAGGAUGUAAUUCUUAAUUUUUAGAGAUUGUUUCUUGUCUUUAAUUUUAUAUUUUACUUUUGCAUUUUUCAUAGCUUACAAACUAAUUUGAUUUUGGGAUUAUUUCUUAGCAAGAUCUGAAUUUUGGUAGUUUGGCAUGAUGCUGGCACUUACGAUGUGGUUACAAGACUGGUGGACCUAAUGGAUCGAUUAGAAUCAAAGAGGAGCUUUCUCAUGGUUCUAAUAAUGGACUGAAAAAAGCUAUUGAUUUUUGUGGUAUGUUUCUUUUUAUUCUUCCUUUAGUUUUUUCUUCUUUGCAUUGUGGAUCAUGCAAACUGAAAGUCAAUCUAAUAAUUGAGAUUAGAUGUCUACCUUUUUUGUUUAUGGGACUACAUAAGAUUAUCCUUUUCUAAUGUGUUUGAAUUUUUCUCUUUUGUUAAUCUUAAUGUGAGAAAUAUGUUUUUAUUGAAAUUGUUUUUGCGUAGUUGCACGUACUGUGAUUUUUUUUUAUUUCAACAUGAGAACUGAUAUCCCAAGAAACUUUAGAAUGAAAUAUGUAAAUAGUUGGUCGGCAGGACUUAGUUUCUUGUAAAUGCUAUGUUGGCUAAUUUACAACCCAGUUCUACCACCAACCUCCACUUUCAAUCCCUUCUCACACACAAUCUUUAGAACAACACCAUGCCUCUCACCGGCUUCAUCGGCUCCUCAUCGACUCCCAAGAUCGAUGAUAUGGGUAAUCCCUUUCUCAACCUCACCAUCAAUGGCUUCUUGAAGAUCAUAUCCGUAUGUGUUUCUUGUUUUAUAUAUUCUUGAUUUUUUUUGUGUGUUUAUUAUGACUAAAUUUGAAAUGGGUUUUGUUUUUUUGGUUCUUUUUAGGUCGUUGCUACUUAAGUGGCUGCUGAGGAUGCUUAUCAUGUUGUUAGAAAAGGUUUUGUUUUUCUCGCCUUUUCCUGCAAAAUUGGUUUCAAUUUUUUGCUUUCUUUAUUGAUUUUAUGGUGUUGCUUUUGAUUUUGUAGGAACGAUUUCUAUUCACAAAUUUGAAAAUAGGUUUAGUAUCUCUUGCUUCAGACUAAGUUAUGGAGUCUGCUAGUUUAUGGCUUUUGAAUGGUGAAAAUUUCAAUUCGAGAAUGUUUAUAAUUAGGAACGAGACUUUUAAUUAGUAGAUUAUAGUUAUCUCUAUUUUUCUAUUUGUUGGGGUAGUUUCUCUUUUGAAUUAUCUAACACCUAAGUUUAGAGUUUUACAUGAAUAGACCAAGAUUACAUCCAAAUUAGAUCAAUAUCAAAGUAAUGAAAGUAUGAUUAAGUAAGACUAAUAGUUCUUAAUUUUUUAUAUCUAAGUACUUUUUUUGCAUACUCUGGUUGUGAAUCACUCCAAAACCCAACAUCUAAUUAAAUUAUUGAUGGAACCAAGAAAUCAUGGUCACAACUCCACAACUUUAGUCCUUUAUCUUUUAGUUACUUAUUAUAGUUUUAUUGAGGGGAGACCAAAAUUUGAUGUCUUGAAUAAAUAUAAAACGAUUCUCAUUUCUUAUUCAUGGUAUACCAUUUCUUACUCAUGGUAUACGAUUCUCAUUUUUUAUAUCUAAGUACUUGUCUUGAAUAAGUACAUACUUCACCGUCUAGGAAUGGAAUAAGAAAAAGAGAAUUUGAGUUUCUCUUUCAAGGAUAUGAUUAUUUUCUUGUUUUUUCACUUUUAGGAUGUUUAGUUAAUUUCAAUUGACAGAGAAAGAUAGAAGGUGAAUUUCCUUUCUUAGUGCGGAAUUUAGACUAAACUCUUCCUUUACCUCUCCAUCUGGGCUGCUAUGUGUCUCAAGCUAACCUUUCUAUUUUGUGAUUAUACUAAGUAAUGGCAAGUAAAGGAGAUACUGGUUAAUUAGCUAGCUGAGCUUAUUUCAAUAGUUAUCAAUUAAGAAGUAUGGUUGUUGUUGAAAAAUUAGUCAUUUAACCGUAUGAAACUAUAUUUUCUUCCUAUUACUAUCUUAUGGCAUUUUGAAUAAUUGAUUGAAUUGAGGAUUAGUAGAAAGUUCUAGCUCUUACUUCAAGGACGUUGUCGUUAUUUGUUCAAGUAAGUAGUUUCUACCUCCCUACCAAAAUACAUAUUCAACUAUUGUGGUUUAAAAUAUAAUUUGUAUCAUUCUAGUCUUGUUGAAAGUGUUUUAGUCUAAUUAGUAUGGUAUAUUAGUAAUAUAUCAGCGUUUGCUUGAAUUAAUAUCAUCUAAAAUCUCCAUAGUAGUUUUUUCCUUACUCUUAAAGAUCUUGUAGAAUUUCGAUUUGGGUAUGGAUCCACAAAGAAAAGUUUUAGUGUGUGAUUUAUGAAAAAAUAGAGAUUUAUGAAAGUUAAAAUUAGCUAAAAAGUCAUACUAGUUCUUUAUCUUUCUCAUAAUAUUUCAUUGGAAACUGACUUUGCAGGUAUAACUGAUGUUUAUCUUUUCAGUCUGAUUGAUGAAAAUGCUAAAAGUAUAGAACCAGAGAGCCUUGAAAGGCAUUGGAGAAUAUCUUUUUAGUUUGAUUGAUAAAAAUGCUAAAAGUAUAAUUAAUGUCUAUCUAUGCUUGUGGUUUAUUAAUUUUCUUUCUUCACUACUAAUUGAAAACAUAAUUUUGUUACAUAACUUAGGUUUAGUUGAGAGGGCUUAAUAUGAAGCUGGUGGGUGGGUACUUGUCGAAAGGAGAAUUAAAGGUAUUGUUCUAAGGUUUUCUUGUCUCUCUUUUUCAUUUUCUUUCAUUUUUAGCUUUCUAGUCAAUCAAUGAGUUUCUAUUCAUAAGGGUUAAUUCUAUGCUUUUAGAUUAUGUAUAGAUAUUGUGUUGCUAAAAGCUGAGAUUGUCGAGCUACUUUUAGCCAUUGUAGUUGUCAAUCUAGUUGGAACAAAGGAUUUGGAUAUUGAUCUUCAAAACUCAUUUCACUUCAGGUUUUUUAUGGUUUAUUUGUCAUGAGAUGAUUGGUGUUCUAUUCUUCAAUGUUUCUAUGUUUUAGGCUUAAUCAUGCUCUAAGGUCAGCUAUCAAUAUUAUACAAACUUCACAUAUGGAUCUUCUUGCAAUCAAAUAACUGCCGAAGGCAAUUCUUUGCUUGCGUCCUUGAGGUUUUAUUUUGUCAAUAUUGUGUGGUUCAUAUGGAUUGAGGAUUGGAAAUGUAGGUUUUAGCAUUGUGCUGUUUAAUUGGUGUUUUUAUUAUAAUUGAGAUAGGGUUGGUGUUGUGUAUGAAAAAGAACUGGAAAUAUAAGUGUGAGCUAGGGCUUGUGAAGGUUCACACUUUUUAACAUUCUAUUUGGUUUAUACUUACUUUAUUAGUGUCUUAGAAGUUGGUAUCUUUAUUUUUUAUUCUGGCAUGGAUGAGCCCUAGUUUGGAUCUUAGUUUGAAUUAGCUCAUAAAAUAGUGCCAUGUAUUGAGUAGUGCUAGUUAGGCUUAGACAAAAAAAAUGGUAUAAAACACUGUUUCAUCCUUCUUGACUUCAUGUAGCAAUGGUUAUUUUGCAUGUUUGGUUUUUUCAGUAUUGCGGUCUUCCAAAAUAUGGACAGCUUGGUCAUACACAUGGGAUAAUGUUGGACACUUCAUUCUAGUAACAAGCUAUAGGCCUAAAUUGCCGCAAGCUAGCUAUGCAUAUUGGUAUGUUGAUACAAGUAUGUUUUGACACGAACCCCUUCAGUUGGCCCAAUCAUAUGCAUUCCACAAAUUGGUAUAUAGUCUCAUUCAUUGCUUGUUAGGAAAAGCUAUUCCUUGAUUAUCGUAGUUACGCAAAACUCUGAUUGGGGUGGAAUUUGACUGACUGCAUUUCAGGCUUUUUUUUUGUUCAUUAACUUGAGUACUUGUUGUAAUCUUACUCUCUGUUUUAAUAAUUUGAGAGAAUUGGUGCAUGAUUAUUCAUAAUUCAUCUUUAUUUGCGAUGACUGCCUAAUAUAAACUGUUGAACUUUAAGGACUAGAAAUUGUAUUAGGUAUAUUGUCUUAGCUUUUUUAUUGUAAGGACUAGGAAUAAGGAUAUAUUUGUGAUUUGUCAUUAUUCAAUUUUAGUGGUUAUAUAUGCUAAAACAAACUUUUUGGAAAUUAAUAUAGCAAGUAGGUUUUGCUGCUAGUAGGAGGUAGGAGAAUUGUUGUGUGUCCUAAAAGACUAAACUGAUGGCUUAUAAUUUUAACUUCAAUGGCCCCUUCUUAGUUAAUGUCGUUCAUAUUAGAGGAUUAGGAGUAAUAGAUACCUUUUUUUCUUAUCAUGGAUAGUAUGCUUGUACCGAUUGACUAUUGCUAAAUUGUUACUUGUGUAAAUUGCCACGGGUGUUAUGUAUGUACUUAUUGCUAUUGCUACUUGUGUAAAUUGUCAUGAGUUUUAUGUAUGUACUCAUUGGUAGAGCUUUUUUUGGAUAAGAAACUAUGAGACCUUUAAUUUAUGUUAAAGCCAUAAAUGAUCAAAGUUGUUCCAAUUCCAUUUUCCUAGUACCUUAAUAUUUCUUGGCUUCGUUAACUGAAGUGGAUUGCACAUAAAACUGUCUUCUUUCUAAUAUUUGUAAAUUUGAAAGUGUUUGACUCCUUAAGAUGGAAACUUUUCGGUUCUUGUUGGAUAACGUUUUUUCCAACCUUAUUGACAGUGAACUACUAAUGGAUUCUUAAGUUUCAUUCAUCUCUAUUAUUACUUAUGAUUACUUAUUCAAUAAUUUCCUUGUAGAUUACUUAUUUAUAUCCACCUAAAUUUUCUAAAGAGUAAUGAUACAAGAGUUGUAAUUUGUAAAAAGUUCCAAUAUUGUAGACCAAGUGGAUGUUAAGGUGACACUGUUAUUCUACAUUUGUGUUCUGCUACGUAGUUGUUUCUCUUAUCGACGCAUGUAGUGAUAGGUAAUGUUCAAUGUUGAAACUUUCUAUAAGAGUUGUACUCUCUUGUCUUGUGAAGGAUGUUUAUAUUCAUGUUGUCUUUGUAGGUUCAACUGGAGUCGACAACUUCAUGAGUUUACUUUCAAUGAACAUUUUCAGAGACGAAAAUUCUCGGUUGGUCGUUUAUGCUUCUGUAGAAAAUCUUGUUAUAUGUAUUCCGAUGCUAUUUCAAAUAUUUUUUGAUUAAGGCCUGGUAUUCCGUACUUGUAAAUUGUUGGAACUUGAUUGGAAAUGUAUGAAUAUUAUAAAUUGUAUUAUAGCGUAUAUAUAUUAAAGUGUCGGCUAUUUUUUUCUAUAUGCGUGUCAAUAUUAUAAAUUCAAAGUUGUCAUUGUCGGCUACAUUAUUGUCAUUCAAAUGGUUCGUGUAAUGGCAGAACAACAAGGAGAACAGGAAAAAAACUGUAGUAAUUGAGUAAUUUGCAACAGGAAAUAAAUGUCGUAAUAUAUGAAUUUGUGACAAUCAUUAAUUGUUGUUAAUACGAAACCAAUGACAAUUUUUUUACAAAAUUAAUUGUCACAAUUGCCCAUUGGAAAAAAAUGUCAUCAAUAACAAAACAAUGACAAUUUAAAAAAAAAAACUGUCGCGAUUGACAUAUCCGUGACAUAUAAAAAAUGUCACAAUAAACGAAUUCGCGACAUUUAUUUAACUGUCGUUAAUAUACAAAUGAUGAUAGUUAUUUAUUGUCAUAAAAUAAAAUAUGAUAGUUAUUUGAUGUCAUAGAAUCCUAAUUAACGAUAUUUAUUUUAUGUCAUGAAAUAAGUUAUUGCGACAAUUUUUGAAAAUUGUCAUGGAAGAACUUUUCAUGACUCCCGCUUCUAUGACUGAAAAUAACUGUCACAGAUUUUGUUCGUGACAGUAAAUAACUCUCGUCGUAGACCAUUUUUCUUGUAGUGUUUAGACAUGUAAAUAUUAAAGUUCUUUGCUUAACUUAGGCUAUGCAUGUUGUUUAAUUUGAACCUUCACAUUAAAAUGAGACUUUUUCAUUUUAAUGUAUUUUUCUCAGGUUUAUGCAGUUUUCUGGAGCGGGAAAUAAAUACUUUCUGAGUUAAUUAACCAUUUUUUGUGUAUGUAAUAUUUUUUUUUUUUUGUUUAUUUUGGUAUGUCAAAAUAAAAUUUAAUACAGUUCAUGAACCUUUGGUACACUAAAGAAUUAUUGUUUGUCAUAUUUUGAUAAGUAUAUUAAAUUAUGGAUUGUCAUAUUUUGACAAAAUAUUAAUGGUUGAAAAUAUUUUCUUUUUUAAUUUUUUGUUUGCACUAUUCAAUAUAUUUUGUUAUAGGCAAGAAAUUCAUUCUAUAAUUGAAAUUUUAUUUAGAAGCAUACAAAAUGAAAUUUAAUAUAGUUCAUGAACCUUAUAAGGUGUUUUGCAAGAUAAAGGACUAGGCGAGAAGAAGUAAGAAAACUUCACGGAAAUUUUCUAGGCAUGUUUAAUGGACCACGUGUAAAGUUUAAGUUAAGCAUGAUUAAGUUAAAUUUUAAGCUUACACGUGCACCACCACUACGUCGUUAGGACUGUUGUUAAAUCUACGUCGCUAAAAGUUUUAGCAAUGCAACAACUACGAGCCGCAAAAGAUAUACUUUUAGUAACAUAUGUUAUGUCACUAUUUAUCUUUUAUAGUGAUGUAUUGCACUUGCCACUAAACAUGAUGUUUUAGUGACAAAUAAUGUUGUUACUUAAGGUUAAUUUGAGACCGUUACAAACAUCUUUUGCGACGUAUUGAAGUGCACCACUAAAAUUUCCUAUAAUUUAUUUUUUAAAAAAACCAAUGCUUUUAAAAGUAUUUUAUUAUAUAAAAAAUAAUAUACAAUUUAUUAUAUUUUAAAAUGUUAAAUAUAAUUAUAUUGCAUCUGUUUUGUAGUCCAACAAUGAUGUACAACAUAAUCAACUCAAACAACACAUAUGCAAGAAUUUAAGCUUUCCAUCAAUUGAACUAUUUAUGUUUCUUGAAUAAUCAACCCAAACUUUCAAUCAAAGAACUAACAAAAUGCAUAUAUAUCCUUGAACAUACAUACAGUUGGUCAUUACAAUUCUAGUUUAAGAUAAACACAAACUUAAUUAAAAAAGCUUGAAACUCAAUCACCUUAUCGUAUGAACUUGGCUUCAAAUAUAAAUUUGGAUUCCACGACCUAAACCAAAAUAGAACAAUGUCAAGUUAAAAAAAUAAGCAAUCCAAUAAAGCAAUCUUAGAAAAAUUAAGCAUUUGUCUGGUAGCAUACUAAAUCACUAGCAGACCCAUUAAAUCAUAAUUAAUAAAUGAAGAAACAAGGGAGAAAGUUACCUCAUUUAAAAUAACUAUAAGAUAACUCCAAACUCAAAGUCUCACUGAUUGUUAUCUUCAACUCUUUAAAAUCUACAAACAAAAUGAGAAUAGCAUUAAUAAUAAAAACUUUAACUUUUAAGUAUAAGAAUCAUGUCCUUGAAAUAGAAACUUGAAGUCUCUUUUUCUUCUUUCAUUCCUAGACGAUGAAGUAUGGUGAAAAACUAACUUGGUUUUAGUUAAUUCAAAUCCAUACACUGAAGAGAUGAAUUACUGAAGUUGGCUCUAUCAUAAUGAAAGCAUGAAAUAUGUAAAAAAUGAAGGAAAUUCAAGUAUUGCAAAAAAACUAUUCCACAUUUUGUACGUGCAACAAAAUAACGAGAUAAUGUUAUAACUUACCAAUGUUAAUUUACCUUUUUUAUUUCAACCAACCAUGCAAUGAACUUUGGUCGCUUGUUCCUAAAAAACAAAGUUACUAAGAUCAAAUUGAAGAAACCAAAAAGCAGUAUAAAAACUCUUCCACAGUAUAACAAAAAUCAAGAUCAAAAUGUGCAUUUUCAUGUGCAUUUUCACAUUAGCGUUGAUUAAACCUGACUAUCUUUCUAUCACGUUGGACACGUUUGUAAGUUUCCAUAAUAAGAUUACCCUUCCAAACAUUUAUGGGAAAAUCAUACUUACUCAAAUCUCCAAUUACAUAAAAAUAGAGAACAAAAGACAAUGCAACUGCAAUAAAUUUGCAAUGCCCAAUUAAAGAAACAUAAAACAGACAAAAAUACAAAACUCUCUAGCUUUUACGGUGUUGACAUGUGGGGUAAAUCCAACUCCUGCUGACUCUACAAUUACAAUCAUAAAAUCGUUAACUCUAGUGCAAUACCAAAGUUGAAACUGAGCUUCAAGAAUUAAGACUCUAAAAAUGGCAUGCAUGUAAAGAAGACCCAAUUUUAAGGACUUUUGUAACAUAAAGUAAAACAAUUACAAGGGUAGAGAUAUGCAUUGAAUGAAUCUUAAAAUUUUAUUUUCUCGCAAUCGAUGACGAGGGAAAAAGGGACUUUAAUAACUAAAUUUAGGUAGAAAGUAUCCAUAGUUUAUUAAUGCCAAUAAACAAAGAAGCCACAUAAUGGAGAUUGGCACCAAGCAAUUAUUUUAGAUAUAAAAAACCAGAAUAAACUAAUUGCCUCUUCUAUUUUAUCAAGUACUCGACUGAGGGGCGACCAUUGGUGAAGGAAAAAAACCUCCACUGGACUAAGUUGCUGAUAUGAUCGAAUAACAGUCAAUAAAAUUCAUAAAAAGCUACUGAGAAUUAGACUAAAGAAGCUUACUAAAUUCAUAAAAAUGCAAAAAUUGUCAUCUGCACCAAAGGGGCGAAGAAAACUAAACAAAUUAUAAUAAAUUGCUACACAAAUAAAAUGCAAAUAAUAAAGGGGACUUUUGGGAUUAGCAUUUAGAAUGAGAACUUUGGGAUUUUAUCCCUCUUGCUCUAAGGUACAGCAUAUAACAUACAGAGUUGUUUUGCUUGAGUAAUGUUGUUCUACAUCUCUUCCUUCGGAAUAAAGGACAAUGCGUAAGCUAACCGUAUUUUGUUUAUUUGGUUCUAAUUUUUUGUGUUUUACUUUGUUUGAUAAAUUCUUGUCAACUGAUUGUUUAAUAAUGAUUGAGAAACAUUUUACCCAAUUUCGGUGAUUUGGAAGCAAAGUAAACCCCAAUGAAAAAGAUGCAGCUUUUCACUAUUUUGUAUUUUAAUAGUUUUCUACAUCACUAUAAUGAAUAAUCUAAAGAACUUAAAGAGACCAGACUAGUUUAGUGGAUUCUUUUGUAGUAGCAUAGUGAAAAGCAAUGAGAAAUCAGCCACACACACCCUAAAGAAGGAAAAAAAAAAAAACUAGCUAAAUUGAUUGAAUAAGUUUCAUUUUUCAAUCUCAUUAACUUUACAUUGUAAUGUUGGUCUUUAUGGUUUAAAGAAAUAAUUUAAUCUCUUAUGAUCUAUAAUUUUUAUCCCAAAUGGUAGGAUCAUUGAAACUGAACUCAAAAACUCUCUCAAAAUAAUUAAAAAAAAAAUGAAUAACUCACAUUGAAGGGAUGAAGGAAUACCGCGUACCUUUCUCUUCAAGUCACCGUCAGUUGUGGUUCAUUGUCAAUAAGAAUACGUCAAGGAGUUGGCCAGGCGAAACAUGACGAAACACUAGCUUGUUGUGGGUAGUCGCCGACCGAAAUGUGACCGACCGAUGAGAUGGAGAGGGUUGGAGGGUUGGGAAUUUGGGAUUUAGGGAUUUUGUGUUUUUUGUCGUGGAAGAGGAAGAGAAAUUAAGGAUUUGAUAAAUAUAUAUAUAUAUAACAAAUUAUUAGAUGAAAAUUUGGAUGAAAAUUAAAAGAGAAAUUUUACAACAGUUAUUUGUUACUAAAACUAUUUAACUUUUAGUGACAUUAUUUCGUGUGUUGCUAAUUCGUUUAGUGACGUGGAUUGAAAAUAUGUUGCUAAUAACCAUAUUUCAUGGCAAAAAAAUUUAGCAUUGAUAAAAAUGAUCAUUUAGUGACAAAAAUUACUUACACCACUAAAACUUUGUCACUGAAUAAUAAAUUUCAGUGCACUAGAAGUAGAAGCUGACAAGCUGAUAAGAGAUUAAAGGUGACUAAGCUUGUUUAUGAAGUAGUAUAAAUAGAGGAUGAGAUCAUAAUGUUAAAGAGGGAUUAUUUUUAGAAUUUGAAAAGAAAAGUUUAAGUGUUGAGGUGGUGCGAAUUUGUCUAUGCAAGAAGAAGAAUAGGAGAAGCCUUUGAAGUUUAUUUUCCAAGUGUUGUGAGUGUCUUAUUCUUUGAAAUGUUUAUGUUAAAAUUUUUCUUAUAAGUUCUUUUUUAUUUAAGUUAAUGAUUUCUAAAGAGAGAUUUAUAUGAAAAACUUGUGCAAUGUUUCAAGUAUGUUUAUUGAGAUUGUGAAUGUUUAUGAAUGAAUUAUCAAACCACUAGUUAUCUUCUUACUAAUGAGCUAACUGUUAUAUGCACAUAAGGCUAAAGACAGUCAUGUAGAAAAGGACUGCAUGGUGGAAUGAAGCUGACCAAUAUAGAAAAUGAUUGCAUUGUAUAUUUAGCGGCAUGAGCAACAAGAACGAAUCAUAAUACUCUUUGAUGUUGAUGAUGAAAAGGACAUCUCAGUAGUCUAAAUGCAAGAUGAUGAGUCUUUACGUAGAGAAUGAUUUGAAAUUAUUGACGAAAGGAAUGUUUGUGACUAAUGUGUGUUUAUGUGCUUGUUAUAUUUUGCGAGAUGAAGCAUUUACGCGAAAUGACAAGUUUAUGAGCAAAAAAUGUUUGAUGUAAAAUUUGACAAAAUAAAGUUUAAUUUACAAAUUUUGCAAAAAAAAAAAAUCUUAAAACCUCACUAAGUCUUUUAGACUUGUUUUAAAAUUUUACCUUCCACGUUCAAGGCGCUAAGGCCAAGUAGGGGAAAGUUAAAAAGGACUUGCUAGGCGAGAAGAGGCUGCCAAGGUGUUUUACCUCUUUAAGUUUAAGAGUUGUGUAUUUGUAUUGUAGUAAAGUUAUUGUAAAAUGCUUAGCCAAAAGUUCAAUAAAGUUUUCGUUUGGUUACUUCUCUGUUUUAAGUGUUUUCUGUUAUCACCUCAAAAUACUUGUAAAGUUGUAAGUUAAGACAAAGGAAAGUCUUUGGGCGAUUAAGCAAAGCUUAAGGACCUCAAGAUUGAAGGUUUUAGCAUUUAACACAUAAAGAUACUCAAGUCACGUCACAUCUCGUAUGGCAAGCUAGGGUGUCAGCGGGGGCAGUGACAACUUGUAGAAGUACAAGUUAUUGUGUACCCUUUUGAGUAAAAUAAUGAGAUCUUAUUGCAUGGAAACAAAAGAAAAUAGAGAAAAAAGUUAACAAUUUGGUUAUAUUUCCAAUAGCAUAAUACAGAAGAACCUUAUCCACAAUUCACUAGCAUUUAGUGCUGUUGGCACAUGCUUUUAGGCAAAAAGAGAGUGAAGCUUGACAAAAAUAUGUCUAUGCGAGAAGUUCAAUCCAACCUUUGCGAAAAUAGAAGUACAAGCUAUGCGAUUAAGGCAAUUGCAGACAAAAUUAGUUGGCAGGAAAUUUAGAGAAAGGACAAAAGGAUAUGCACAAUGUCGAUUGCAGCUUUUCAGAGGUUUUAAUGGCGCGUGGCAGCCUGUCAACAUCAGUUCUUGAAUAUAAAUAGAGUGUCUCACUUCUCAAUCGGUGUGCAAUUUUGGCUGGGAAAAACAAAAUGCUCCCUCCACCCAUCCAUCUCCCUUCCCUUCAGUUUUAGAUAAAAGCCUACAGCAAAGAGGAGAGAGAGAUCCAUCUCUUCCAUUGUUUUCCUCAGACAUAGGCAAAAAUCAGAGCUAAAGAGUAUGAGAGAUCAAACUCUGUGGCGUAACUCAUGAUUUAUUUUUCCAUCUUGUAAUUUUUAUAUUCUAUUGUUUUGUAAUCUAAACCUCAUGGUUAAAAAGCUUAACAUAUUGUUUAUGAAAGCAAUGAAUUUCUUCUUCCAUUCUCCCAUAUUUCUUGUCUUUCCAUGUCUACAUAGUUGGUUGGUUGAAUUAUAAUAAUUGAUGUUCGUGAUACUCGGAUAAUCAUAAUGAAUGUUGUAAGAGUUAUGCAAAGCUAAGUGUGAGUAUCUCAACCUUUUUCAUUCAAAAGAAGGACUUGAGUAGAGAUCGUAAUCACUAAACAAGUGAAAAUCCCUUUUAGCUGAGCAGGUGGUGGGAAGAAUGUCGUCAUGCAUUCUUGUCGUCAAGUUCAUCCUUUGCAUACAUCACUGAAAGGUUGCUGUGUGUGUCGAAAGCCCUAAAAUGUGUACGACCUAAAUAAGGAUUAACUACUGUUUUGUAUGUGAGAUUAUUAUAUAUAAAUCAUAGCUUAACUAUAAAUAUUUUCAUCCCGAGAGGCGAGCAAGUAUGAUAGAAGCGCUGAGAAUGUGCUUGCCUUAAUUCUUGGUUAAUACAUGCUUUAUGUCACUUCAAAGUAUUAAAACAUUAACCAUUGCCUUUAGUUAAUUCAACUUUCCUUCCUUGCCAUGCCUACACUAAGUUCAUAUCUCAUUAUGCUAUACUUCCAUGUUCACCUUGCACCGCCAAGUACAGUAGUGUAAAUAUCUAAGAUCAAUAUUAUAUUGUUAAUAUCUUUAUUGUACAGUGUAUACCGCAUCAUUUAGUAUGGGGUUAGAUAAAAUAGGAGCUUAAAUUCCCUAUGAUCAACUCUAGACUUACUAGAAAACUUCUCUUCACUUGAACUUGGGCGAUAGAGGAGAAAACUUGUGUGACAAUGUUUGAUUCUUAUAAUAACAACGCAUUAAUAAGAAUGCACCUUUUUUUAUCGUAUAACCUUGUUUAGAUGCAUAAUGGUUAUAAACUUAGAACUACUCUUGUUAAACAUACAAGCUUGACACUUGAGAAAUUAGAACGCAUGAAUAAAAAUUUUAUGACGACUAAGUUUCCGGCGCUAUUGCCGGGGAAUUUUUAAAGAUCUUUCUAUUAUUUAAUUGUGCGCUAAAUUAUGCAUAAGUUCAAUCUCAGUUGAAUCGCGUGCUCUAACCAAAAAGUUCAUGAACAAGUUUAUGAGUGCAGGCGAACAACCUGAAUUCCAGCUUGACCCUAAGAUCGAAUGAACAUUUUGGAGGAAUCAUAGACAAAGGCAGAAGGCAACACCAAGCGAACAUGGACAAUCAGAACAACAAUAUCUCUCCCAACCAGAACGCCCAAAACCAAAAUCUAGCCUACUUAGCUCAUAAUUUGGAUUGACCCAUUAGAUCAUGCACACCGUUGAGCCUCUAUAAUUUCAACCCGGGUAUUGCAAGUGUAGUAUUUGGAGACAACUCAAGGUUCAAAAUCAAGCUAGUAAUGCUUCAAAUGAUCUAGAAUGUUGGACAGUUUGGAGAGCACACACAUGAAGACCCUCAUGAGCAUAUAAGGAACUUCUAAUCUAUUUAUAUGUCGUUUAAUAUGCCAGAAAUAUCACGAGAUGAACUAUGUUUACCAUUUUUUCCACUCACAUUGCACGACGAGGCUAAACAAUGGGCCAAGUCUUUGGAAGAAGAGGAAGUUACAAUAUGGGAUAACUUGAUUGAAAAUUUUAUGUAGAAGUUCUUCUCGUCCAUUGAGAACGCAAGAAGUAGGCAAGAUUUGAUGACCUUUGAACAGAGAGAUAGUGAGAACCUUAUUGACGUGUGGGGAAGAUUCAAGAGAAUGAUCAAGGGAUGCCCUCACCAUUGCAUCACUGGAUGUGUUCUGAUGGAACAAUUUUACUUUGGGCUUAGUAGAGACAUACAACAAUCUGUUGACAUUGUGUUCAUUGGUGGGAUGCUCAGAUCAUCCUAUAAUCAAAUCAAAACAACGUUGGAUGAUAUGACCAGCAACAUUCAAGAAUGGAGAGAUGACAGCUUCGAAUUGUGAAAUGAUAGUAAAGGAAGUAGAAGAGACAAAGGAAGUCAACUUUCAGAAGAGCAGGUGGGCGGGAAGAAUUUAAUCGUGCAUUCCUUUCGCCAAGUUCAUCCUUUGCAUAUACAUCUUUGAAAGGUUGGUGUGUUUGUCGAAAGCACUGAAACAUAUACGGUCUAAGUAAAGAUUAGCUACUUUUAUUGUAUGUGAGAUUAUUGGAUAUAAAUCUUAGCUUAACUAGGAGUAUUUGCAUCCCGAGGGGCGAGAAAGAAUGAUAGAAGCGCUGAGAAGCUGCUCGCUUUAAUUCUUGGUUAAUACAUGCUUUAUGUCACCUCAAAGUAUUAAAACAUUAAUCACUACCUUUAGUUAAUUCAAUUUUCCUUCCUCAUCAUGCCUACACUGAGUUCAUAUCUCAUUAUGUCAUACUCCCAUGUUCACCUUGCACUGCCAAGCACAAUAGUGUAAAUAUCUAGGAUCAAUAUUAUGUUGUUAAUAUCUUUACUAUAUAGUGUAUUAACGCAUCAUUUAGUAUGCGAUUCGAUAAAAUAAAAGUUUAAAUUCUUUGUGUUUGACCUUGAACUUACUAGAAAACUUCUCUUCGCUUGCACUUGGGCAACAGAGGAGAAAACUCGUGCGACAAUGUUUGAUUCUCAUGAUAGCAACGCAUGAAUAUAAAUGCACCUUUAAUUUUAUUGCAUAACCCUUUUUUAGUUGCAUAAUAGUCGUAAACUUAGAACUACUUUUGUUAAACAUACGAGCUUAACUCUUGAGAAAUUAGAACGCAUGAAUAAAAAUUUCAUGACGAUCAGGCGUGGUGUGACAACUUAGUAUCAUAGCGUGAUUUUGGGAAAUCUAGUAGUUUUAUGUGUGAUUUUGGUGGUUAAGUGCUUAAGUUACUUUUGUAGGAAUUAGUAGAAGUAGAAAUGUCGACAAGAAAAGGAAGGGACGCAAGAAGUGGAUCAAGAGCAACAAUUGAGCCUACAAUGGAUUCAGAAGCACAUUCGGUUAACCCUGAUGCGAGAAGAAAGCAAGAGGAAGCAGUUUAUGAUAAGAGUUUCCUAAAUAUUAAUAGAUGUCAUGGCACAACAACUAGAGAAGAAAUUUGGAAUAGAGAGAUUCAAGACAUUAGGAGCUACAAAAUUUAGUGAAACUACAAAGUCAAAAGAAGCUAAAAAGGACAUUAAAGAAGUUAGGAAAGUAGAUUUGGUUGUGUUUUUAUUACAAGAAGAGGUUGAAGAUUGGUAGACCCUAGAAGAGAAUGGGCGAGGAAGAGUUAACUAUGAAAAUUUGAAAGAAAUAUUCAUUGGAAAGUAUUUUUUCGAAACCUAUAGAGACGAGAAGAGAGAUGGAUUUCUCAAUUUGGAAGAAGGAGAACUCUCUAUCACACGACACGAGAAGAAGUUUACAGAGUUAUCUAAAUAUGCAAGAUGAAAUUCACUCUUUCCUUACUUUAGGGUAAGUAAGUGAAUGUUCUCUUAAAUGGUGUCUCCGAGACUUGAGCAAAUGGUCCUACCCUCUCAAUGGCACAAGAGGGGUUUAUAGUUAUUUAGUGGUUGAACCAUAAAUAGGUUGUUCACUAGAUGAACAUUGAUAUUUAAGGACUAGAAGUAACUCAGGGGUAAAAUGAAAAUUGACCCAACUGAUUUACGAACACUUGGGAAGGACUAACUACUAUAGGUCUAUAUCUGUGGACAAAGAAAUAUAUCUAUAGUGAAAAAAGUUUAGUUGUGAGUCUUUAGCCAAUUAAUCUCAUAUCGUUAUAACAUCUUAUCUAAAGGUCUAUUAGACUCUCUUUCUAGCUCGUAAAGGGUAAUGAAAUUUAUUUAUAUUAGUAAUUUGAAAUUUUCAAAUUUACUUUGGGAAUUAGUAUAAUGUACGGUGAUACAUUAUAAUAUAAAGUUCAUAUUUUAAUCAAACUUUAUUAUUAAAUUUAAUUUUGGAUAUAAUUCAAAAUUAAUUUAUGAGAGAUAAAAUAUUUGGAUGAGCUCAAAUAUUAAUUUGAUUUGAAUUGGAUUCGUAUUAAAAUUAUUGGUUAUGAGAGAAAUUUAUAUUGUAAUAUGAUUCAAAUUUAAUUUAAUUUUAAGAUAUUUAAUUUAACUAUUAAUUAAUAGUUUCAUUUAAUUUUAUUUGAUUUAAUUAAAUUAAUUUAAAACUCUAAGAUAUUAGAGGCACAUGAAAUUAAAAAGGAUUAAAAUGAAAUAUUAAUUAAAUCAUAUUUAAUUAAUUAUUAAUUAUUUAAUAUUAAUUAUUUAAUUAGUAGAUUUAAAAAUAAAUUAAUUAGAAUGAGAUUUAAAGGGGUACAACCAUUAUACCAAAUACAAAAUAUAAAUAUAAAGUAGUAUCAUUUAAUAUUUAUUAUAAUUUAACAGUUUAAAAUUAAUAUUAAAAUACAAAAAUCGAGAAUGUGAUACAGACACAUGUCCUUUAGUCCUUUAAUAGAUCUGCCCACAACAGUGGACAAAACUAGAAGAUGGAGAGUUUUGCCGGAGUGAAAUGAAAACACAUGGAAAAAAAAAAGGAAAGAAUCUCUUUUUUGAAUUUGAGAAUAAAUUUACGAUUUAAAGAAACAUUAAAUGUGAUAUAACUUAAUUAGCAACACAAUAAAUUUUAUUUAUUAUUUUAUCUAUUCGCAAUAUCAAUGAAAUGAGUGAGAUGUACCCUAUUUUAUAAAACCUAAAUGUAUAGUAAAAAACUAAACGUGAAAAUUCAUUAUACUUGAAUUAAGUAAAAAUAGUUUUUUUUUUUAAACAAUUUCUCUAAUAAAAAAAAUAAGAAGAAGAAGAACAAUAAAUAAAAAAAUGUAAAGAAUAAAGAAAUAAAAUGUAAAAUGUAAAGAAUAAAGAAACAAAAUGUAUUAGAUUCCUAUAUAUCCGUGAGUCAAUUUUCUUUGAUCAAAUUCCCUAGAAACAUUUUACUGUCGGUCAUUUAAAUUCGUAAAAAUCUAAACCUAAAGAGCAAUUUAUUUCCUUAGCAAUUGUUUGAUCACAAACAAAACAAAUUUUGUGAUUAUUAUAUAUGUGGAGAUGACCUGUUAAUUCCUACCACCUCCAAGCUCCUAAAAUUGAAAAAAAAUAAACAAUAUUUCAUAAAGAAACUGAAACAUAAGAUUACAUGCAAACAUUUUGAACAAUUUAUCUUAAACCCAUCUUCUUAAAUUUAUAAGCAUAAUAUCAUACGAAGAGAAGAACUCAAAAGGCCUUUAACAUUUCAUCCCGUCCUCUAGUUUUGAAGAAUAUGGGUUUGGUUUUUAAGUUAAGUCAAAUUUAUAAUUUCUAGUUUUGUUUUCAAACGUAUCUAGUUAGUCUCAAGUUUUUAAAAUUAAGUUCACGAACUCUCUUGAAUAAUUUCAUACUUUUAUUUUAAGUAAUUAUAUAUGGAUAUAAUUUUAUAAGAGAAAUUUUCAAAAAUAACAAAUUUUACAAAGUAUUUACAAUUUAUAACAAAUUCUAUAUAGUAUUGAUAGGUUAUAAUGAUAAUAUAAUCUAAAAUUUUGCUAUAGCUUGUAAUUAUUUUUAUUUAUUUUAUUAUUUUAAAAAGUCAUACAAAAAAUACUUCAACACCUUUUAAACCUAUUUGAUCAAAUAGAUCUAUUUUUCUUAAUUUGAAAACUAAAAAAAUACAUUUUUAAAACGGGGAAUAAAACCGUGUACUGUUUUAUGGAUGAAAAAGUAUUUUUUUUUUCUUUUUCCUUUUUUAUUUCCAUCCAAAUCAAUUCCAACUAAAUAUUGAAUUAAUACAACACUCCAGAUAUGGAUGGAAUUGUGAGAUAUUUGAGUAUCCACAUUGGAAAAAGACACAAUUUUAUUAUUCCUUACAAGUCUUUUUAUUAUUCGUUUUUUUGGUCCAAAAGUUGACUCCACCUUAAUUCUUUUCUAUUGUGAAAUUGAUCUUCUUUAAGAAGUAUAUGUUGUGUACAUCUACUGUUUGUGAGAAUUUGAGAAAAGCAUAUUAAAAUAAAAUGUAGCAAAUUCUUAGUCUUAAUUAAUCAAAUGUAUUGUUUAGAAAAAUUAUUGAUUCAUGGCUAACACUUCUUAGAUAUUAAUAAUUAAAUGUAUAAGAACAUUUUUAAAAAUUUGUAAAUAUAAAAAAAUUUAUUGAUAAAUAAAUUCUAUCAUUAAUAGAUUUCUAUUAGCUAAGGUUGACAAAGUUUAUCACUAGUUGAAUAGUGUUAAGUCUAAGUUUUAUUAUAUAUAUUAAAUAUAAUUGUUUUGCAUUGUUGGUGUUUGGCCUAAGUACUGCUCCUAUAUUCGAUAUUAAAUUACUCUUGUUGUUAUCUACACUAAUGUAUACAACAAAAGUUAAAAAAAAGAUUCAAUUGGAUAACCCUCGAUCAAAAUGUUUCGAACUUAUCUUCUGUAAGUUAAAAGUAGGACAUCCACAAAGUUGUAUAAAUAUAUACCGUCCAAAUGGGAAAGAGAAGCAUGAGAAGAAGAGCCUUCUAGCUUUCUCCAAAAAUAAGCAAAAAGGAAAGAUAUAGCAAAGAUGAGUUGUGUGGACAAGGGGGAGUGGUCAAAAAUACCUGUUUGUACAACACCAUGUGUUCUUGAUAUAGCAAAUUUUGCAGUGACGGAACACAACAAAGAAACUGGAGAAAAAUUGACACUCAAAAGUGUUAUAAAAGGAUGGUUUUUGGAGUUGGGCGAUGUGAAAUUAAAGUUUCGUUUGUACAUUCUAGCAGCAAACGACAAAGGAGUUGUCCUAACCUAUGAAGCAGUUGUGUGCGUCACAGAAAUAGGUGACUUUAAAAGAGUGAAGAAACUCUUAUCUUUCAAUGUCGGUUAUUUGGAUGAGAAGGAUGUAUUUUGGAUUGUAAUUGUUGAUACUAAAGCGUCUUGUGUGCAAGACGUGGCAAAGUUUGCUGUGGCAAAGCAUAAUGAAGACGAACAUGAUAGUCUUGUCUACCUUUCUAUCACUAAAGGUUGGUAUCGAGAACUUGACCCGUAUAAUGCUAUAUUCUUCGAAAUUCAUCUUACGACGAAGGAUUGUUUUGGACGAGUGCGUGAGUUUAAGGCUUUGGUUCUAGAAGACAAACCUCAAAAGGAGAAAAUCCGAACACUCAAAUAUUUCGAAGUUAUAAAGAAAUGUUGAAAACUUGCUAUCUAUAUGUAAGUGAGAGUGGUUAUGUUAUGUGUUAUGUCUAUGUUCUUGACUAUAUAUCCAUAAAUGAAUAGUCAAGUUUAAACUAAAUAAAACGUUUUAAAUUAUAUGUCACUCUUUAUGCCAAAUUUUAUUAAGGAAGUUGUUUAUAUUAUAACCUAUUAGUUAUUGGGAAUUUAUACGAGAUAUAAAUAAAGUCACUUCAUUAAAAUGAAAAUGUAAUAGAUCGAUGGUAAUAAGAAAUGUGUGGGGUGCCAUUUGAUUGCUUUUAGCAUUGUUUACUUAUGUUCUAUGAUCGUAUUGACACAUGAGGUCACUUCCAACUUAUAAUCAACAAAUGCAAAUUGAUUCACAAAUUAAAGGCAUUCAGUUCAAUUGCACCUAGUAAUUAAGUUGUAUAUUUGUUACUGUGUUUCGGUUACAACUACCAUUAUUGUUAUUGUUUCAGCUGAAAAAUUAUCAAUUUGACAUUUUAAUAUUGUCGUUAUUGUAAUCGCUUUGGAAACCUUAUCCUUUGAAUUCCUAAGUCGUAUAAGAAGUUAAGUAGAGGUUGUUGUUGAUGUGUUGUGUUGUUAACGUAGCUUAAUUGAAGGAUUAAAGGCUUGUUUGAAAUUCAACUAAGUGUUUGGGAGCUAGGGUAACCAACUUAGGUGUUAUGAGAACCUUCAAGAGUAUGAUGACCAAUAGUAGUUUAAGUGGCCAAGUAGAAGAGCCCUGGUGUGAAACUCCGAUCUGCAAAACAACAAGAAUGCAGGAAGUAGUGUAGAUAGGACACAAUUUAGCUUAAAACCUUGCAAUUGAUCUUAUCACCUAACUCAAACUCAACCCCUUUUAAACUACCAAGUGAAAAACAUAACGUAAUGGAAGUCAACAUAAACGUCAAGUACAAUAAUUAACAUAACCAAAACUUACGCUUAUUUAGAAUGAUUUUGACCACAUGGUUAUAUUGGUACAAUAUGUAGUUUAUUGAAAAUGGACUUGAAGGAGAUGCUGAUUCUGGCGGUGAAGAAGAUGAACCGGAGGACACUGAUGGUGUGAAAGUGGAACAUCUCUACACAUUUCAGAUUAUCAAGGUUUUGCACUAAUAACCGAUUGAUUUACUAUAGUGAUGAAGCUACCAAGCAAGUGAUUGAUGUUUGAUUCGUGACAAGACUUGUUGCAAUUUAGUUAUCUAUGACAAUACAUUGCAUUUAGUUUCUUUGUAAAAAUAUAUUACCAAUGUUUAGUUUCUAUUUCACUUGUAUUUAUCCCUUUGGGAAAAUUCGAUAGAUUUAGUGUACUUAGUUUUUUUGUAAAUAUGUUAUCUAUGUUAUUUUUAUAUAUGAAAGUUCUUAUUUAUAUGUGUACUAGUUUUGUGUUAAAAUGGAAUCAUUGGAUAACAGGAAAAAAAUCUAAUUGAAUUACAAUUUUUUUUAUAAAAAAAAUUCAUAACAUAUUUGACGGUUAUAAAAUGUCAUAAACAAGUCCAUCCUUGACGGUUUUUCAAUGUCAUAAACAAUCAAUUUCUUGACGGUUAUUAAAUGUCAUGAAUACUUAUACUCUUGACGAUUUUAAGUUGUCAUAAACAUUCACACUCUUGACGGUUUUUACCUGUCAUGAACAUUUGUAUACUUGACAUUUAUAAAACGUCAACGUUCA
This 42694-nucleotide long non-coding RNA is filed under the name Cucumis sativus (cucumber). RNAcentral's name for it is "long non-coding RNA (CSAT_LNC000464)". Lineage: Eukaryota; Viridiplantae; Streptophyta; Magnoliopsida; Cucurbitales; Cucurbitaceae. The record is from RNAcentral.